RNAcentral lists this ribosomal RNA (115 nucleotides) under Aspergillus udagawae. The record is from RNAcentral. Lineage: Eukaryota; Fungi; Ascomycota; Eurotiomycetes; Eurotiales; Aspergillaceae.
ACGGCCAUAGGGUGUGGAAAACAGGGCUUCCCGUCCGCUCAGCCGUACUUAAACCACACGCCGGCCAGUUAGUAGUUGGGUGGUCACCACCAGUGAAUCCUGGCUGUUGUAUGUC